RNAcentral lists this ribosomal RNA (484 nucleotides) under uncultured bacterium. RNAcentral describes it as "partial 16S ribosomal RNA". It matches the Rfam family "Bacterial small subunit ribosomal RNA", at positions 28 to 507 of the family's 1533-position model. The record is from RNAcentral.
AUUGAACGCUGGCGGCAUGCUUUACACAUGCAAGUCGAACGGCAGCGCGGGCUUCGGCCUGGCGGCGAGUGGCGAACGGGUGAGUAAUGCAUCGGAACGCGCCCAGUAGUGGGGGAUAGCCCGGCGAAAGCCGGAUUAAUACCGCAUACGACCUGAGGGUGAAAGCGGGGGACCGAAAGGCCUCGCGCUAUUGGAGCGGCCGAUGUCGGAUUAGCUAGUUGGUGGGGUAAAGGCUUACCAAGGCGACGAUCCGUAGUUGGUCUGAGAGGACGACCAGCCACACUGGGACUGAGACACGGCCCAGACUCCUACGGGAGGCAGCAGUGGGGAAUUUUGGACAAUGGGGGCAACCCUGAUCCAGCCAUGCCGCGUGCGGGAAGAAGGCCUUCGGGUUGUAAACCGCUUUUGUUCGGGAAGAAAUCCUCUGGGCUAAUACCCCGGGGGGAUGACGGUACCGGAAGAAUAAGCACCGGCUAACUACGUG